UACGUAGGGGGCGAGCGUUGUCCGGAUUUACUGGGCGUAAAGCGCGUGUAGGCGGCCAGAUCAGUCGGGUGUGAAAGCCCGGGGCUCAACCCCGGGACGCCGCCCGAGACUUUUUGGCUUGAGGUCGGAAGAGGGGAGUGGAAUUCCAGGUGUAGCGGUGAAAUGCGUAGAGAUCUGGAGGAACACCCGUGGCGAAGGCGGCUCCCUGGUCCGAUUCUGACGCUGAGACGCGAAAGCGCGGGGAGCGAACGGG
Molecule: ribosomal RNA, 253 nt
Filed under: uncultured bacterium
Lineage: Bacteria
Description: partial 16S ribosomal RNA
Rfam family: Bacterial small subunit ribosomal RNA
Source: RNAcentral